RNAcentral lists this ribosomal RNA (253 nucleotides) under uncultured bacterium. RNAcentral's name for it is "partial 16S ribosomal RNA". It matches the Rfam family "Bacterial small subunit ribosomal RNA", at positions 524 to 776 of the family's 1533-position model. The record is from RNAcentral.
UACAGAGGGUGCAAACGUUGUUCGGAAUUACUGGGCGUAAAGCGUGUGUAGGCGGUCCGGUAAGUCCGCUGUGAAAGUCGGGGGCUCAACCCUCGGAUGCCGGUGGAUACUGUCGGGCUUGAGUACGGAAGAGGCGAGUGGAAUUCCUGGUGUAGCGGUGAAAUGCGCAGAUAUCAGGAGGAACACCAAUUGCGAAGGCAGCUCGCUGGGACGUUACUGACGCUGAGACGCGAAAGCGUGGGGAGCAAACAGG